Molecule: ribosomal RNA, 503 nt
Filed under: uncultured bacterium
Lineage: Bacteria
Description: partial 16S ribosomal RNA
Rfam family: Bacterial small subunit ribosomal RNA
Source: RNAcentral
AUUGAACGCUGGCGGCAGGCUUAACACAUGCAAGUCGAGCGGGGUGAUGGUGCUUGCACUAUCACUUAGCGGCGGACGGGUGAGUAAUGCUUAGGAAUCUGCCUAUUAGUGGGGGACAACAUCUCGAAAGGGAUGCUAAUACCGCAUACGUCCUACGGGAGAAAGCAGGGGAUCACUUGUGACCUUGCGCUAAUAGAUGAGCCUAAGUCGGAUUAGCUAGUUGGUGGGGUAAAGGCCUACCAAGGCGACGAUCUGUAGCGGGUCUGAGAGGAUGAUCCGCCACACGGGGAAUGAGAACCGGCCCAGACUCCUACGGGAGGCAGCAGUGGGGAAUAUUGGACAAUGGGGGGAACCCUGAUACAGCCAUGCCGCGUGUGUGAAGAAGGCCUUAUGGUUGUAAAGCACUUUAAGCGAGGAGGAGGCUCUUUUGGUUAAUACCCAAGAUGAGUGGACGUUACUCGCAGAAUAAGCACCGGCUAACUCUGUGCCAGCAGCCGCAGUAA